RNAcentral lists this ribosomal RNA (362 nucleotides) under Dirofilaria repens. RNAcentral's name for it is "partial 12S rRNA". The record is from RNAcentral. Lineage: Eukaryota; Metazoa; Nematoda; Chromadorea; Rhabditida; Onchocercidae.
UCAUUUUAAUUUUUAACUCUAUUUGUUGUUAUAUUACUUUUUUUUUGUUCUUUUUUAUGUUUUUUUUUGUAAAAUAUUUUGAUUUUUUUGUAUUUUUUUGUAAUAUUUAAAAUUUGGUUUUUGAACUGGAUUAGUACCCAGGUAAUCAAAGUUUAUUAAUUCGGGAGUAAAGUUUUGUUUAAACCGAAAAAAUAUUGACUGACUUUAGAUUUUUCUUUGGAAUAUGUGUUUUUGGAGAGCCCUCUUUUUUGGUGAAUUUUAUUGGCACAUGUAUGAUUGUUUAGUUUUUAUUUUAUUUGUGUUGCUUUUUUGUUUUUUUGCAUUUAAAACAGAUAUAUAUUUGGCUUAUAAAUUUAUUUUUC